UGGGGAAUAUUGCACAAUGGAGGGAACUCUGAUGCAGCGACGCCGCGUGAGUGAUGAAGGAAUUCGUUUCGUAAAACUCUGUUCUAUGGGAAGAAAAGGACUGUACCAUAGGAGAAAGCUCCGGCUAAAUACGUGCCAGCAGCCGCGGUAAUACGUAUGGAGCGAGCGUUGUCCGGAAUUAUUGGGCGUAAAGGGUGCGCAGGCGGCUUUACAAGUUGGAUGUGAAAUAUUGUGGCUCAACCACAAACGUGCAUCCAAAACUGCGAAGCUUGAGUUAAGGAGAGGUGAGUGGAAUUCCCGGUGUAGCGGUGGAAUGCGUAGAUAUCAGGAGGAAUACCGGUGGCGAAGGCGACUUACUGGACUUAAACUGACGCUCAGGCGCGAAAGCGUGGGGAGCAAACAGG
Molecule: ribosomal RNA, 404 nt
Filed under: Fusobacteriota bacterium
Lineage: Bacteria; Fusobacteriati; Fusobacteriota
Description: Fusobacteria bacterium partial 16S ribosomal RNA
Rfam family: Bacterial small subunit ribosomal RNA
Source: RNAcentral